CCUGCCCCUGACCUCUGGGGAGGAAGGUGGGGCUGGAGGUUAAAUCCAUUGCCAUUGGUCCAAGAUUUAAUCAAUCAUGAUUAUGUAAUGAAAUCUCCCUAAAAACUUGAAAGGAAGGCAUUUGGAGAGCUUCCAGUUAGUGAACCUGUGGAGAUUUGGGGGGAGUGUGGCCCCCAGAGAGCAUGGAGAAGAUCUGUGUUCCCUCCCACAUGCCCUCUCCAUCUCUUCCAUCUGACUGUUCUUGAAUUUUAUCCUUUUACAAUAACCUAGUAAUCUAACGUAGGGCUGGCCAGAAGUCCCAAAUUCCUAAUCAUGUGGUUGGUCUUCCUGGUAACCAGCACCUGUCCUGAAGCUGUGUAGGGGCCCACGAGGAGUCACCAUUGGCAUAAGAAAGACACUCCAAUCAUUCUGGAAAUUCUAAGGGUUUUUGCCAGGAUCUGAGGACAGAGACCAGAUAUAUUAUUUCUUUUAUCACAGUUGUGAAAGGCACAGAUGUGUGUGUGCCACAGUGCACACUAUACAUCCUGCUGGAGUCCGGAAACAGAAACAAGACUGAUGUUUUUUCCAGUUCCCUUGAGCUCCUGCCUUACUGAACCUCUCAACAGAUGCUGAAAUCACAGGCUCUUGAAUGGCUUUGAAAUGCUGUUCCUUCCGUAAGGUAUCUGCACCACAUCCUCUAAGGCUACAUUUCUAUCCUUGCCUAUUAGCAUCUGUAUUAGUCUGUGAGGGCUACCAAAACAAAACAGCACAGCUUGGGUGCCUUAAACAACAUAAGUUAAUGUUCUUACAGUUCUGGACGCUGGAAGUCCAAGAACAGGUGCCAGCACUGGUUUCUAAGAUAUCUGUCUCUCCUUGGUUUACAGGUGGCUGCCUUUUUACUGUAUCCUUACACGGUUUUUCCUCUGUACAUGUGCGCUCAUGGUGUUCCCUCCUCUUCUUAUAAGGACACCAGUCUUAUUAGAUUACAGUAUCACUCUUUUGACUUCAGUUAAUUACCUCCUUAAAGUCACUAAUCCAGGGAUGCAAGAAGACGCAAUUCAGUCCGUAAUGAUGGGGAGUAAAAUAUCUGACCCCUAUAUAUGCCACUUUGGCACGUGGAUUAUUUUGAGUUGAAGGCAGUCAAGACUGAGAAGACUCUACAAACACUUUUACCUCUCUCUUAACUACCUAAAAAUAAUUUAGAUAGUGGGCCUGGCCCAGAAAGAGAACUCCUACCAGAGAUAAAUUUCUAUCUGAAGACCCACCUAUUUGGCAGGGCAAACAUCGAAUUACCACACAUUUGCUUCUUUUCAUUGCCCUGUGAAUUAGCCUCUUCCCCUUUGAAGCCCCAGGCCCCUUCCCAAUUCCUUAACGUAGGAUGGCAUGUAAGCCUCAACUUACCAAUUUGUCCCUGGGUCUCAUAUUUUUUAGGGAGCUCCUAUAUUUACAUAAUUAAACUUGUUCUUCUCCUGUUAAUCUGUCUUACAUCAAUUUGAUUAGUAGACCAGCCAAAAGAACUCAGUAAGGUAGAGGGAAAAGUUUUCCUCCCCUCUAAUAACAACCUCCCCUUACUUUUUAGGAUCCAAUUUCUCUGAAUCAUCCUCUAAAUCCUUUUGUGGAGACCCUCAGCACUGUUCUCCCCUGACCUAUUGAUAUUUCUCAUAACAGGGUGACUGUACUCAUAACCAUGAGCGAACGUAGACAUACACAGACCUCAAGAGCCAUGAGCCCUUUGGGGUCAGGGACCAUAUUCCUUUCUAAUUUGAAUCCACAAAAUCUAGAAUGCGGUUUUAUAAAAUUACUCAGUACAAGUAAGUAAAAGCAAUAGAUAAAAAAAUUCAAGAGCCUAAAGUACGAAUUUGAUCUAUUGUGGUGUUGUUUCAGGUUUAAAGUAGUACUCUUCUUUAGGCAAACAACUCUAUCGAUAUAUGCUUCCUCCUGUGAAAGUGAUUAAAAUUUACCAUCCAUGUAUGCACACCUACCCAAUCUCUGGUUCCCAUGGUAACUGUACAAGCUUCACAUCUGGUAUGGAGACGCUGUGGUGUUUUUUUUAUUUAUUUUUUUAUUUUCUUUAUGUUUAUUUAUUUUGGAGAGAGAGAGGCAGAGUGUGAGCCGGGGAGGGGC
Felis catus (domestic cat) is the source of this 2103-nucleotide long non-coding RNA. RefSeq lists it as uncharacterized. The record is from RefSeq and is a predicted model, not a curated record. The transcript has 3 exons. Lineage: Eukaryota; Metazoa; Chordata; Mammalia; Carnivora; Felidae.